CAAAAAGACCGCGAAACCGUUAGGAGGGAAACGAAUGCGGCUGAAGUGGCUCCCCGUCAGGCUCAGGAGGCGUCGUCGGGUCUCGCGGGUGGCGGUUGAUUCCGCGCCCGAGAGGCGCCCGUCGACCUCUCUGCACUUCUGCGGGGGGCCGGCCAACGUCAGUUGCUCCCGGCCCAGAAGGGCGUCGCGGGAAGGUGGCUCCGUGCGCACGCGCGGAGAGCUUAUAGCCCGGCGUCAACCUUGGCGCUCCGGGAGCGACUGAGGAGAGCUGCGAGUUCUUUCGCACGUUGCGGCGCAGGCCCCUCGGGGCUGGGCCGCUCUCCGUCGGGAAGGGACCGAGGCCUUCACUGCGUGCAGUGGGGGCUUACGGCGCUCUCUCCUGCGGGGAGGUCGGUCGCACCUUGCGUCGCGGUCGUUGGUGCCCGGAUGGCCGCAUCCG
RNAcentral lists this small RNA (439 nucleotides) under Tedania sp. QM G333282. Its description in RNAcentral is "partial large subunit ribosomal RNA". Lineage: Eukaryota; Metazoa; Porifera; Demospongiae; Poecilosclerida; Tedaniidae. The record is from RNAcentral.